This 73-nucleotide transfer RNA is filed under the name Cimex lectularius (bed bug). RNAcentral's name for it is "tRNA-Lys". It matches the Rfam family "tRNA". Rfam says of the family: Transfer RNA (tRNA) molecules are approximately 80 nucleotides in length. The record is from Rfam by way of RNAcentral. Lineage: Eukaryota; Metazoa; Arthropoda; Insecta; Hemiptera; Cimicidae.
GUCACGAUAGCUCAAGUGGUAGAAUACCGGCGUUUUAAGCCGAAGGUCGUGGGUUCGAAUCCCGUUCGUGACA